Molecule: ribosomal RNA, 702 nt
Filed under: uncultured Sphingomonas sp.
Lineage: Bacteria; Pseudomonadati; Pseudomonadota; Alphaproteobacteria; Sphingomonadales; Sphingomonadaceae
Description: bacterial SSU rRNA
Rfam family: Bacterial small subunit ribosomal RNA
Source: RNAcentral
AAUGAACGCUGGCGGCAUGCCUAACACAUGCAAGUCGAACGAAGCCUUCGGGUUUAGUGGCGCACGGGUGCGUAACGCGUGGGAAUCUGCCCCUUGGUUCGGAAUAACAGUUGGAAACGACUGCUAAUACCGGAUGAUGACGUAAGUCCAAAGAUUUAUCGCCGAGGGAUGAGCCCGCGUAGGAUUAGGUAGUUGGUGUGGUAAAGGCGCACCAAGCCGACGAUCCUUAGCUGGUCUGAGAGGAUGAUCAGCCACACUGGGACUGAGACACGGCCCAGACUCCUACGGGAGGCAGCAGUGGGGAAUAUUGGACAAUGGGCGAAAGCCUGAUCCAGCAAUGCCGCGUGAGUGAUGAAGGCCUUAGGGUUGUAAAGCUCUUUUACCCGGGAUGAUAAUGACAGUACCGGGAGAAUAAGCUCCGGCUAACUCCGUGCCAGCAGCCGCGGUAAUACGGAGGGAGCUAGCGUUAUUCGGAAUUACUGGGCGUAAAGCGCACGUAGGCGGCUUUGUAAGUAAGAGGUGAAAGCCCAGAGCUCAACUCUGGAAUUGCCUUUUAGACUGCAUCGCUUGAAUCAUGGAGAGGUCAGUGGAAUUCCGAGUGUAGAGGUGAAAUUCGUAGAUAUUCGGAAGAACACCAGUGGCGAAGGCGGCUGACUGGACAUGUAUUGACGCUGAGGUGCGAAAGCGUGGGGAGCAAACAGG